This 2128-nucleotide long non-coding RNA is filed under the name Salmo salar (Atlantic salmon). RNAcentral describes it as "lncRNA (ENSSSAG00000094635.1)". The record is from RNAcentral. Lineage: Eukaryota; Metazoa; Chordata; Actinopteri; Salmoniformes; Salmonidae.
UUCAUGAUUGUCAUGGUGUGCUUGGACCAUGUUAGUUUGUUGAUGUGGACACCAAGAAACUUGAAGCUCUCAACCUGCUCCACUGCAGCUCUGUCGAUGAGAAUGGGGGCAUGCUCAGUCCUCUAUUCGAUCGCCGCCUACUCCUCAGAAGGCAGCCCGCCCUCCGGCCUCUCUUUCUCCACCUCCUCUUCAUGCAGAUCACUGGGGUCGGGGCCUGUUCCCGAGGGAGCCGUAUAUCCUCCGCCUCGGGCUUGUCAGAGUCGUGAAAGAAGAUAAAGGAUUCUGCUAGUCCAUGGUUUCAUACAGGUUGUUGGAUUCCAUCCCCCCUCACUGGAUCUGCAGCAUAUCAACAGGCGGGAGAAGUUAGCUUCUAACUGACUGACUGAGGCCUCACGUCCCCCAUCUGAGAUAUCUACUGCAGCCCUCAUCCUCCACAUACAACACCCGUUCUGCAAGGCACAUUCUGUUAAAGGUCCUCAAAACACACACAUUCCUGGGUCGCUCAUCUUUUCUGUUCGCUGCAGCUAGCGACUGGAACGAGCUGCAACAAACACUCAAACUGGACAGUUUUUUUUUCUCAUUCUAUUCAUUCAAAGACUCAAUCAUGGACACUUACUGACAGUUGUGGCUGCUUUGUGUGAUGUAUUGUUGUCUCUACCUUCUUGCCCUUUGUGCUGUUGUCUGUACCCAAUAAUGUUUGUACCCUGUUGUGCUGCUACCAUAUUGUGUUGCUACCAUGUUGUUGUCAUGUUGUGUUUCUACCAUGCUGUGUUGUCAUGUGUUGCUGCCAUGCUUGGUUGUCUUAGGUCUCUCUUUAUGUAGUGUUGUGUUGUCUCUCUUGUCAUGAUGUGUGUUUUGUCCUAUAUUGUUAUUACAUUUAUUUGUAUUUUUAAUUCCAGUCCCCGUCCCCACAAGGAGGCCUUUUGCCUUUUGGUAGACCGUCAUUGUAAAUAAGAAUUUGUUCGUAACUGACAUGCCUAGUGAGUCAGUUAAGAACAUAUUCUUAUUUACAAUGACGGCCCCAGGUGGUGAAGGUAGGAAACAACAUCUCAACUUCUCUGACCCUCAACACUGGGGCCCCACAAGGGUGUGUGCUCAGGCCUCUCCUGUACUCCCUGUUCACCCACGACUGCGUGGCCAUGCACUCCUCCAACUCAAUCAUCAAGUUUGCAGACGACACAACAGUAGUGGGCCUGAUCACCAACAAAGACGAGACGGCCUACAGGGAGGAGGUGAGGGCACUCGGAGUGUGCUGUCAGGAAAACAACCUCUCACUCAACGUCAACAAAACAGAGGAGAUGAUCGUGGUCUUCAGGAAACAGCAGAGGGAGCACCCCCUAUCCUCAUCAAAGAGACAGCAGUGGAGAAGGCAUAACGUUUUAAGUUCCUCGGUGUACAUAUCACAGACAAACUGAAAUGGUCCACCCACACAGACAGUGUGGUGAAGAAGGCUCAACAGUGCCUCUUCAACCUCGGGUGCCUGAAGAAAUUUGGCUUGUCACCCACCCAAAACCCUGACAAACUUUUACAGAUGCACAUUGUUUGUUCAUUUAUAAGUAAUUUCAAGGUUUAUGUAAGUUGAACAUUAGGAAGCUAUUGUUCCAGACAGGAGACUGUUAGAUUCUGGGUGAAACCUGGAACAUUGUUAUACUCAUAAGGAUAGUGUCUAACAGUGAACGAGACUGGUUUUUACAUCAGAAGUUAAUGGUUAUCUGUAGGAGUUAGAUGGCUUUGGAGAGUGUAGGGGAGACGGGUGGAAAUCUUAGAACCUAACAAUGUCACUGAGGGAGAGAGGGUAAUGUAUAGCAUUUACAUUAUGUCAGGAUAUGUUAUUGUUAGCCAUCAGGGAUCCUCUAGGAGGAGAGGAGACACAGUCUGGUAUCAAUAACCAUGACAGCCUUGAGUUGGGGAGGAGUGAGCACUUUGGGCUAGAGGUCAGGUUAGAUGAAGUGAGGAACAACAGAUAUCACUAAGGUUCUGUCUAGCAACAGAGAUACAAUGGUCUGUUCAGUUGUGGAGGAGACUCAACCUAGGAGAAAGGGUUAAAUAUCAGUGCUUGUGUGAAAUGUCGUUUGUCUGAAUGCAGCUGUAUCGACCCUUUGGGAAGAAUUAAAGUUGUUUAAGCUUU